AUUGAACGCUGGCGGCAGGCCUAACACAUGCAAGUCGAACGAGAGGCGGACGUGUGAGUAAUGUCUGGGAAACUGACUGAUGGAGGGGGAUAACUAAUGGACACGGUAGCUAAUACCGCAUACCAUCAGAUGUGCCCAGAUGGGAUUAGCUUGUUGGAGGGGUAACGGCUCACCAAGGCGACGAUCCCUAGCUGGUCUGAGAGGAUGACCAGCCACACUGGAACUGAGACACGGUCCAGACUCCUACGGGAGGCAGCAGUGGGGAAUAUUGCACAAUGGGCGAAAGCCUGAUGCAGCCAUGCCGCGUGUAUGAAGAAGGCCUUCGGGUUGUAAAGUACUUUCAGCGGGGAGGCGUUACCCGCAGAAGAAGCACCGGCUAACUCCGUGCCAGCAGCCGCGGUAAUUC
Molecule: ribosomal RNA, 406 nt
Filed under: uncultured bacterium
Lineage: Bacteria
Description: partial 16S ribosomal RNA
Rfam family: Bacterial small subunit ribosomal RNA
Source: RNAcentral